AGCCAUGCCGCGUGUGUGAAGAAGGCCUUCGGGUUGUAAAGCACUUUCAGCGAGGAGGAAAGGUUAGUGGUUAAUAGCCACUAGCUGUGACGUUACUCGCAGAAGAAGCACCGGCUAACUUCGUGCCAGCAGCCGCGGUAAUACGAGGGGUGCAAGCGUUAAUCGGAAUUACUGGGCGUAAAGCGUGCGUAGGUGGUUUGUUAAGCAAGAUGUGAAAGCCCUGGGCUCAACCUGGGAACUGCAUUUUGAACUGGCAAGCUAGAGUUUUGUAGAGGGUAGUGGAAUUUCCAGUGUAGCGGUGAAAUGCGUAGAGAUUGGAAGGAACAUCAGUGGCGAAGGCGGCUACCUGGACA
This 353-nucleotide ribosomal RNA is filed under the name uncultured bacterium. RNAcentral's name for it is "bacterial SSU rRNA". It matches the Rfam family "Bacterial small subunit ribosomal RNA", at positions 390 to 735 of the family's 1533-position model. The record is from RNAcentral.